Molecule: ribosomal RNA, 378 nt
Filed under: uncultured bacterium
Lineage: Bacteria
Description: bacterial SSU rRNA
Rfam family: Bacterial small subunit ribosomal RNA
Source: RNAcentral
UAAGACGGAGGGGGCAAGCGUUGUUCGGAAUUAUUGGGCGUAAAGGGCUCGUAGGCGGAUCUAAAAGUCUGACGUGAAAUCUCCACCGCUCACCGGGGAGGGGCCGUUGGAUACUGUAGAUCUGGAGUUCGGUAGAGGGUCGUGGAAUUUCGGGUGUAGCGGUGGAAUGCGUAGAUAUCCGAAAGAACACCGGUGGCGAAGGCGGCGACCUGGGCCUGAACUGACGCUGAGGAGCGAAAGCUAGGGGAGCAAACGGGAUUAGAUACCCCGGUAGUCCUAGCUGUAAACGGUGGAUACUAGGUGUGGGGGGUAUCGACCCCUCCCGUGCCGCAGUUAACACAUUAAGUAUCCCGCCUGGGAAGUACGGCCGCAAGGUUG